GACGAGCGCUGGCGGCGUGCCUAACACAUGCAAGUCGAACGAAGUGGCGGACGGGUGAGUAAUGUAUGAGCAACCUGCCUUCAAGAGGGGAAUAACAGUCGGAAACGACUGCUAAUACCGCAUACUUGAAGAUGGGCUCAUAUCUGAUUAGAUAGUUGGUGAGGUAACGGCUCACCAAGUCGCGAUCAGUAGCCGGACUGAGAGGUUGAACGGCCACAUUGGAACUGAGAUACGGUCCAGACUCCUACGGGAGGCAGCAGUGGGGAAUAUUGGGCAAUGGGCGAAAGCCUGACCCAGCAACGCCGCGUGAAGGAAGAAGGUCUUCGGAUUGUAAACUUUUGUCUUAUGGGACGCGGUACCAUAGGAGGAAGCCACGACUAACUACGUGCCAGCAGUCGCGGUAAUACGUAGGUGGCGAGCGUUAUCCGGAUUUAUUGGGCGUAAAGGGAACGCAGGCGGUCUUUUAAGUCUGAUGUGAAAGCCUUCGGCUUAACCUGAGUAGUGCAUUGGAAACUGGGAGACUUGAGUGCAGAAGAGGAGAGUGGAACUCCAUGUGUAGCGGUGAAAUGCAUAGAUAUCGGGAGGAACACCAGUGGCGAAGGCGGCUUGCUGGGCUUUUACUGACGCUGAGGCACGAAAGUGUGGGGAGCAAACAGGAUUAGAUACCCUGGUAGUCCACACCGUAAACGAUGAUUACUAGGUGUAGGCCUGUGCCGCAGUUAACACAAUAAGUAAUCCACCUGGGGAGUACGGCCGCAAGGUUGCAACUCAAA
RNAcentral lists this ribosomal RNA (773 nucleotides) under uncultured bacterium. RNAcentral describes it as "bacterial SSU rRNA". It matches the Rfam family "Bacterial small subunit ribosomal RNA", at positions 28 to 905 of the family's 1533-position model. The record is from RNAcentral.